UUCAAAGCUAGUUGAAGCCGGUACGCCGUGGUACGUUGCCUGCAGCGUGCAUAACCGUCCAUGAGGUGCUGCCAUAUUUGUUUAAAGGAAAACUGAGUUUUUUCAUUAUCAUAGAAAACAUGUCAUACCACUUACAGGAGGGAAUCUGAUUGUUUAGAAAAUAGACGUCCGACUAUGGGGGAUCACGUACGCGCUGAGCAGGUACACGGCUGGAGGGACAUUCGUGGGACGCGCUAAAACGCAGCUAUAAAAUAAACGUAAGGCUACGUGCGCCCUGGAAAGACUCCUGGUACCAGCAGCUAAACAAGUCAUGAGAGUUGUUGGCCCACUCUGCAUGCCGAGGUAUCCUGGCACGUGCUAUGACUUUCAACCCCUUCCUGAGCAUCUUCCACCAUCUACCACUUUCCAGAAUAAGUAUCAAAGAGAGACGAACCUUAGCCAAUUUCCUUGGGGAUGCUCGCGGUUAUCCCGUGGUAAAGGAGACUAGCGAAUUGGCAGUAACUGCAGGUGAAAAGUUUUUCUAUCCUUUUUGCCCUCGAUUAGGUAUAAAAAGAUCAUACGGACUUACAGCGUCGUGGCGUCAUAUUCUUCGGAGGAGUAUAAAAAUUCCACUUGGCCGUCUCGUUAAAGCGAGAUGCUUUACGGCGUCUUGGCUGAAUGCUAUGCUGGGCUUCUACUUCAUCCACUCUCCAGGGAAACACAUGGUUGGCACUUCCCCUUCUGUACCUAAAAGACUAGGGAGGUUUUAGGGCAAGUGUGACGGCGCUUUAAACAUUAAACCCACUGAAGAGGACGAAGGAGGAGAGAACCUUCAUUAGCCCGGAUCAACUAGUUCGGGUUUGGUUGCUUUGCCAAGAGCACACACGUUCUGGCUACAGGAGGGAAACUCGAGUUUUAAUCAGCGGCUCGGAUUUCGAAGACGACGCGUCGCCUGGAAUCCCCUACCCAUCAGAUAUGUACCGGUAGUAUCCUAGGAAGUGUCGUGGCUCAGUCGUUAUAUCCCUGACGAAGGUACUCCAGCACUCAUCCUUGGCCAAUGUUUGCAUAUACUUUUAGAUGCUCGAGCACGGGGAACAGAGAGAGAUACAGAUGAAAAGGGUGAAAGGGGCCAGCAGCGGAGGUCACCCUGGCAACCGACGACAAAUUGCCAGUGGUCCGUGUCAGCAAAAGGAGUCACAGCUUUACCUUGGAAUGAAUUCCUCGACAAAUUACUUGCAGACGUUAACGAAUGUGGAAUCAAUCGGACCGGGUGUACCAAUCGGAAAGCAGCGAAGAAGCUUGAUUCGCAUCGAGUCGCCAACCAGUCUGUAACCACGUGUGAAAUUUUGCCUUGUGUAAUUAUGCACGUGUCCGUGCAUAUCGUGCCAUUAAGUGGCAGCAUAAUAAAACAACUACUCCAAUCUCAAUGCGCGUGGGUGGCGACCUCUACUAAUGGGGUAGAAAAUGGAAAUGGUCACGCGUAACCACACAAACCUCAGUCUGUGCGCCAGCGAAGUCGACAUAUCAAGGGGAUAACCGUGCCUCGGCAAGGAUUUGACAUAAUCUGACGUGAGAUAUUGCGUUUGGUAUAGGGAGGCUCGUUUCUAUGCGAAUCGUUUGACUGCAGGAAGAUGGAUCUAUUGGGUCGCAGUACUUUACGGCUCCGGAUCCUUUCCGUACACUGACGAUCGCCAGGAUAACACAGAAGGACCACGUCCACUUGGCCCUCGUCACGUCACUUCGAUGUCCUGGACGUAUUUAGACAUUUGGACAGUUCACCCAGGGCGCCGAUGCAGGAUACCGAGUGAAGCAUGGCGAGACGAGGAGGAAGAAGAGGAGAAAAGGAAAGAAGAAAAAAGGAAAAGUACUGUCAUCGACUCGCGGAAGGCAUUUAUCGGCGCGUCGAAUCGACGUGCCAGAUUCGAUUUGCUCAUCGAAAUUUCAUAAUAGUCUACUUGCGUGCCGAAGCCCUCAACCGGAGGAGGACUCGAGGAUAGGAAUAUACACCACCCUUCCCGGAGUCUCCAGAUCGAUGUCGAGCACCUUAACGGUCCUUCUAUACCUAUCCGGCCAUCGCCUCUUCUACUUCCUCUUCUCUAUUUCCAGCCUUCCACAUCUUCGCCAUCUCCAGACUCUCUGGCUUCGUCGUGUAGCACAGGCUGUCCUCCUUACUCCUUGGAUAUCUUCUCAACCGCCCUUGCUCAACUCUUAUUCUCAACCCUGGCCCCCGCCAUCCUUCUGCGGCUCUCAGCAGGUUCAAUCGUCUACGGGGUGUCUUGAUACCCAUUUGACCAAUACACUUCCGCUUUGACUUUGCUUGGAAAUUUCAUAUUCUUUUCACACUACAGAAUAGUGUAUCUAUUGGCAUUCAAUAUUCGAAUACUAAUUAGCGUCUUGAAUUCAUUUUUGACAUUUGAUUAGACAAUCAGCAGCCACUGUCGCCAUUCUGCCGAUGUGGGUCUUAACGAGAUAGAGAAGAAUGCUUUGAAGUAGAUAACGAGGAAUGGGAGUUGGAAUUCUUUUGUGAGAAUUAUGGAAUUGAUUCAGGUUUGAAAACAGUCUCCAGACACCACCCGGUAUAGAGGAGCGCUUGGUGCAAAUAGACGAGAGGGGAUAGUUGGUAGGUACGAGGAAGUAUAAGGUGCCUUCACCUCUGAAACCCAGUGGAGCGGACAUGCGAUAAGGGCCCCCAACCCCAACUGGCACCCUGCUGGAGUGCAAGAGAGAAAGAGAGGGAGAGAGAGAGAGGAAAGGCCGAAGCGUCUAAAGGGUGAUCGGCGUCUCAAGGCAGACCUCAAGGAGCUCCGCAAUUUAUUCCGAUAUUUAGAGCAGGCUCGAAUUAACCCCAAGAUGGGGGUGUCUGUCUCCUUUCUCCAACUUCGCUCCGGUUCCACUCCUUCGACUCUUUACUUCUCUUCAUCCAGGAUUACCUCACCCAGCACUUUCUCUCCUCUUUCAAUAGCUCCGGGCACCUUCGCACCCUUAUGUGCUUUGCCCUCUUUCACCCUUACUUCACCUCGUUUCUCACUUUUCACUCUUGCUCGAUGCUCUUUUCCAUAAAUCUGGCUCCGUACACAACCCUUGAAUAUUCAGCAACCAACUGGUUAGUCUACUAGUUCAUUGCUGACUCUACGAUCAAUGAUCCUAAUUAAUUUUCUCAUAGCUUAGGCAUUUCCGGUAUGGCUGCGUCCGGUUCUUCAAGAAAGAUCCGAAUAUCAGAGUCCUUGAGGUCUCCUUGUGCGGGACAUGUCUCUGAAGUUCGAUUUCUUCGGGCGCACUCUCCUCCCUUACCUAGGGAUCGCUUAGGGGUUGUUCCUGAUCUGGUAGCUUCUGUAAGACAAGUCCGGCGCUUUAGGGGCUGGAGGAUAUGCUCGAGGAUCCUCGUCCUGGUGGAUCUGAUUCCGUCGUAGGGUAACCUCAGCCAAGUUGCAAGGGAUGACUGGCGCUAGCCGUAUAUAAGGGUAGUUUGCCGAGGAGUGGAGGUUGCUACGACCAGCUCGCGGUUCCUCAUGGUACAGUUGCCCGUGUCGUUGAUCUAGAGCCUGCAAGGGAUAUGAAUACCGGCACGGUAGAACGCUGACUUAUUUAUUUAUAUCGGGUCGGUAAAUCUCAGCGGCGUUUAACCGUCGUCUUUCACGAUUUCUUUUUUUCUUCCUUCCCUUAUUCUUCACUUCCGGCAUCUACCGUUAUCCUCAUCAUCUACCUUCCUCUCAUUCUUCUUCUCCCGUUCGUCCCCGCCGACUCCACUUGGAACUGCCCGAAGCACGAGCGGCGCUCAAGCGAGCAACCAGACCCAGCAGAGGAGGCACACUGGAAGGCCCUCGGAAUCCAAGCGGAUGAAGGGCUGUACCAUUAUCCUGUAAGUCAAACACCUGCCAACCCCUCGGAGGCACAUCCUACCAUCUCCGAGAAGGAUCCAGGUAAUGAUCCCAGGACAAUAUGAUCAAGAACGAAGGAGGAAGUCGAAGGAAAGAUAUUUAUUGCCCAAGGCACCAGGAAAAUGAAGCGACUAUCGCCUCUCUUCCUGAGAUCGAAGAUACCCCUGAUGCUGGGCACGAUACUCGUGAUGCUCUCUUGACUCCUCGGCCUUCGCCCUAGACAUAUAUACGUCUACCGCAUAUCCCGGAGGCUGUAGGAAACAGCAAGAGGAGAAAACAAACCCCUCCGGGACAGGAGUUCCUCCAGAUAGACACCCUCUGCGAUGCUGCCAGGAUGUGUCUCGCAACCCGUACGAGAUCACGACCUUUUACUGCCUUUGGCUUUUACUUUAUUUUUUAUCUCUUUACUAUUCCUUCCUCCUCCCUGGCUUUUCGCCUCCCUAAACCAUCACAUUGGAAGCAUCCUGAUUUCACAUCAGCCUUUACUCCCAUCACGUCACUUUCUGCCUUUCUUUUUUUAUCUCCUCGCCUUUUUGUUCCAUCUAACCCAAUAUCGAUGCCUGUCGCCCGUGUAAUUCCUUCGUACCGCAGGAUACGUUGGAACCUUAUCUGCUUAUAGCUUUCCAUUACUAUGUAAUAUCGCGAAAAGGGGUGAAAGAAUUUGUAGAUAUUUUUUAUACACUACGCGUUAACGUGGAUCUUAUAUUAAAGGUAAACAUCUCGGACGGAUUUGUUUUCACGAAGAGGGAAGAAGGUCUGAGAUUUUGGAUUUUUGUAUGCUUAACGUGAGUGCGAGAGAGACGGUCCCAUUGGUACUUUCAUGCGCGAGAGUGAGACAUAUAUAUACAGUCGACGAAAUUGCGGAUAGAUACCUUUACAAAGUUAUGGCCGUUCAAAGAUGCAUCCGUAGCGGAUCCAAUUCGCGGAAGGGUAUCUAUUCUAGAAUUUCAGAUCGACGGUAUGUCUGUCCUUCUCUUUCACGCGUAAACGCACAUAGGAGCCUCUCUCUCGCACUCACGACGGAUAUGGAAAAUUGCAAAAUCUUAAAGGGGUACCCUCGGGAUCCUUUCCGUCUCUCUUCCUGUAUAUACCUUUGCUCCGUAUAACUGUACUUGGACGUAUGUGCCUAUGCGUGCUUUUUUUAUUAUUUAUCUUUUCUUGAAACGGCUUGUCGUGAAUAUUAUCAAGGAUCUCGAAAUAUCUCAAUAGAGUAAAAUCCAAUCCUACAUAGACUCGUUUAUCUUGGAAAAUAGGUAAUCUUCCACGUUAAUCGGAAAUUUUCUUGUAGCUAAACGGCUUCUGAAAUCGAAGAUCUCAUUCCCGGGAGCGUGAUGAUAUGGGAUAUACCUACGACUAUAUAUACAGAUGGGGUAUUUAUUGGAUGAGAUGGGGGGGAAAAAAAGUUUGCGGAGAUUCGUGUUUUUCUUUGCCCGACUCUAUCCGGGUUAAAGGAAACGAUGGGAGAAUCACGUAGAGGAUGUUAAAGAGAGCGAAAGGGAAUGGUGAGGAUGCGGAUGCGGCUUUACGAGCUGGAGCAAAAGACGCUUUUCAAGAAAAUCUUUGGUCUACGAUCGAACGCGUCUGUCUUUUCCUGGACCCACUGAGAUGCUGAGAGAGGACCAGAGUGGAGAAACGUUUGCUAAGAUAAUCGGCAAGGAAUGGGAAGCAAGGAAGGAUCAGGCGAUUGGAGGAGGAAAGCUGGCAGAUUGUGCCGCAAGGGAAGUCACAAUGAUAAAAUAACUAUAAAAUUACAUUUUACGGGACCGAGACGGUUUAUUGGUAGAAUGUUUAACCCUGAGUUUAUUUUAUUCUUCCAGGAUGAAGAUUCUGCAUGGGGUAACGGGACUUUAAGGAAUCUUGGUCUCCAUGUCACGUGAUCUCUCCUUUAAUUUUACGAGCCUGUUCCUUGCAUGGAUCUUCCCGUGUUGUACCUGAAAAAUUAAAGUAGCCUUACCGUUUUGCAGGAAACUGCUGUUGCGUGCCACGAAUCGGAGGAAACAACGAUCAGAGCAACGAGACGCAUUAACGUGGAGGAAAUACGUAACCCCGUGGAAGGAGCUAACGGCGGAGUACGGACAAGGGAUGCUGGAGCUGGUGGGUAGCUAAAUACAGAGAGAUUGGGACAAAUUAAGGGAAUUAUCAGGAGGACGAUUAAAGUCGAGGUCUGAUUUAAAUGGCGGCUGCCUAUCUUGUGCUCUUGGAACCCUUGACGAUGAGGGAGUCUUAGUUAAGCACCCUUAGAGGAGUCUUCCAGUUUCCGCCAUUCAAUUCUCGCGAAGUCGUAUCCCGAGCAAUUCUCAGGAGUAAUGGAGCCGUCCGGCUUUCUCUGACGCUCUCCCAUUCAGCCCUCUCCCUCGCUCUUGUAUAAAGCGUCUUAUUAUUUCUUGUACUUUACGAAAAGCUCGUAAGUCCUUAGUGGGCGAGAUUUGUGUCGGCUGGAUGCUGUAUGGAGUUUUAUAUCUCGCAAAGGGAUGACGACCCUUGGAAUAAGAUGUACACAGCGAUUGUUAUACGAUCAUCGUUUCAACUCGUCAAAGAUCUUGGUGCUUCCAUAGUCACCUGAAGUUAUGGCCUGGCAGGGACACGAGGAGCGCUGAAAACAAUUAACUCCGGGUCCCAGGAGAUGGUUUCCAGAAUCCCCAGAAAAAAAUAUCUGGUAUUUCAUAAUACGGAUGAAAAAAUCGUCGAUAGAUAUAUACUGAAUGCAUUGGGAUACGAAGCCGAAUGCUGAAUGGUGCAAGCAAGGACAGCCGAUCCGGAUCUUGGUGGUUCCUGAGCAAGCCUCUGAUUGCUGGCUGACAGAGUGGCGCUGACGUCCGUCGAGAGAGCACGAGCUACGCUUAUACCAGGCAGAACGGCCCUGC
Molecule: long non-coding RNA, 6721 nt
Organism: Cephus cinctus (wheat stem sawfly)
Lineage: Eukaryota; Metazoa; Arthropoda; Insecta; Hymenoptera; Cephidae
Exons: 14
Source: RefSeq, a predicted model, not a curated record